Molecule: long non-coding RNA, 15216 nt
Filed under: Selaginella moellendorffii
Lineage: Eukaryota; Viridiplantae; Streptophyta; Lycopodiopsida; Selaginellales; Selaginellaceae
Description: long non-coding RNA (SMOE_LNC000790)
Source: RNAcentral
UGGUGGUGGAAGCUCCUCGAGCGGCAGCAGCCGCGCUGCGAUGAUGGAUCGCAAUAGGACGACGACUUCGUCUUCGUCAUCGGCGUCUAGAAAUCGACGCCGGAGCCACCAUCGCUGAGCAAAGACGAGAGCAAAGUUCUUAUUUCUUCCUUUUUUCAAAUCAAAUAGCCCGCCCAAGGGUAUAUUCCACUUCUCUGCUUUUUUGAAUUCAAAUCACCCGCAUAUUCUCUCAUUUUUAGGGUUCUUGGGGCUAGGGUUUAUGGCGACCGCGAUCUUGUGGAGCGCGCAUUCUCCGCCUCUCCCGCAAUGCGGCGUCUCGAUCGGAGUGUUUCGAACGUCCCGAGCAGGGGCAUCGGCUUCGGCGGCGGUGGCGCCGUCCUGUGCCACUGGUGCCGACGAGAUUUUCAGCGUGCGCGGUGCCGAGGAGGCGUCCAAGCAGAUCGAGACGAGAGUCGCCAAGCUGGUGAGUGCCUUCUCGUCGCCGGGGGGGAAAUCACAGGAUCUGGAGGGUGUAGCGCUGUGUCCUCGUGUGGCGGGGCGUGUCCUAGAGAGGAUGUCCGACCCAGAUGCCGCGCUGCGCUUCUUCCACUGGGCGAGCAAGCAGCAGGGCUUCGAUCACAACGUCUACACCUACAAUCGCCUGUUUGAGGCGCUGCUGCGGGCUCGCCGGAUCGAUGAGACUUGCCACAUCCUUAAGAACGGGUGGCCUCCCGGGAUCACGCCCAACGUCUUCACGUAUGCUGUGGUGAUCCAGGGCCUGUGUAAGUCCGGGGAUCUGGACAAGGCUUGCGAGCUCCUGGAGGAGAUGAGAGAAUCCGGGCCCGUCCCAGAUGCCGCGAUUUACAACUUCGUCAUCCAUGCUCUCUGCAAGGCCAGGAACACCGCAAAGGCUCUCGACUACUUUAGAAGCAUGGAAUGUGAAAAGAAUGUGAUCACGUGGACCAUUAUGAUCGAUGGCCUCUGCAAGGCGAAUCGCCUGCCCGAGGCCACCACCUAUUUCGCGAAGAUGAAGAAGAAAGGUACUGUGCCUAACGAGUGGACUUACAAUGUGCUGAUCAAUGGAUUUUGCAAGGUACACAAGGUGCACAGAGCCUACUUGCUGCUCAAGGAGAUGAAAGAGUCGGGGCUUGCUCCAAAUGUGGUGACUUACAGCACGGUUAUCCAUGGAUUCUGCCGGCAGACAAAGGUUGACACGGCUUACAAGCUCUUCCGGCAAAUGGUGGAGAACGGCUGCAUGCCAAACCUUGUGACUUACAACACGCUGCUCUCGGGGCUGUGCCGCAAUGGGCUCAUGGACGAGGCUUAUGAGCUUUUGGACGAGAUGAGGGAACGGGGGCUCCAGCCGGACAAGUUCAGCUAUGACACCCUCAUGGCUGGGCUUUGCAAGACUGGGAAGAUCGAUAUGGCUUUGAAAGUCUUCGAGGAUAACAGCAACGGUGAUUGUCCUCCGGACGUUGUAGCUUACAGCACUCUCAUCGCUGGGCUUUGCAAGGCUGGAAGGCUGGACGAGGCUUGCAAGCUCUUUGAGAAAAUGCGAGAGAACUCCUGCGAGCCUGACGUUGUCACUUUCACGGCACUCAUGGAUGGACUGUGCAAAGGGGACCGUUUGCAAGAGGCGCAACAGGUUUUGGAGACGAUGGAGGACCGGAACUGCACUCCCAACGUGAUCACUUACAGCAGCCUGAUCGACGGGCUUUGCAAGACUGGCCAGGUGCGAGACGCUCAAGAGGUUUUCAAGAGAAUGAUAGUCCGGGGCAUUGAGCCAAACGUGGUGACUUACAACAGCUUGAUCCAUGGCUUUUGCAUGACCAACGGGGUAGACUCCGCACUUUUGCUAAUGGAAGAGAUGACAGCAACAGGGUGCCUUCCGGAUAUCAUCACCUACAACACACUUAUUGACGGACUUUGCAAGACGGGAAGGGCGCCGGAAGCGAACAGGCUGUUUGGAGACAUGAAGGCCAAGUUUUGCAACCCGGAUGUUAUCACGUACAGCUGCUUGAUCGGCGGGUUUUGUAAGCUGGAGAGAAUCGACAUGGCUCGCACGUUGUUCGAUGACAUGCUCAAGCAGGCAGUCCUCCCCGAUGUCGUCACUUUCUCGACACUAGUGGAAGGAUACUGUAAUGCUGGACUGGUGGAUGAUGCCGAGAGGCUUCUGGAAGAGAUGGUUGCCAGUGACUGCUCUCCGGACGUGUAUACUUACACAAGCCUGGUCGACGGCUUCUGCAAAGUCGGAAGAAUGGUGGAGGCGCGCAGAGUUCUCAAGCGAAUGGCCAAGCGGGGAUGCCAGCCCAACGUGGUGACUUACACCGCUCUCAUUGACGCGUUCUGCAGAGCUGGGAAGCCGACGGUGGCUUACAGGCUGUUGGAGGAGAUGGUUGGCAACGGCGUCCAGCCGAACGUUAUCACGUACAGGAGCUUGAUCGGUGGCUUCUGUGGGACUGGGGACCUGGAAGAGGCUCGCAAGAUCCUCGAGAGACUGGAGCGCGACGAGAACUGCAAGGCGGAUAUGUUCGCGUACCGGGUGAUGAUGGACGGGCUGUGUAGAACAGGGAGAAUGAGCGCAGCUCUGGAGCUUCUCGAGGCCAUCAAGCAGAGUGGCACGCCUCCUCGCCACGAUAUCUAUGUGGCGUUGAUCAGGGGGCUGUGCCAGGGGAAGGAGCUCGGCAAAGCCAUGGAAGUUUUGGAAGAGAUGACGCUCUCGAGGAAAAGCAGGCCAAAUGCCGAGGCUUACGAGGCGGUGAUCCAGGAGCUAGCAAGAGAAGGGAGGCACGAAGAGGCAAACGCGCUCGCAGACGAAUUACUUGGUAACAAAGGCCAGUAAAAAGAGAUUGUAAUCACAAAUCCUGAAUAUUGUGUGAAUACUAUAGAUGUUCUCCUGGUAUGUUUCCUAAGGCUUUUGCAGAAAUCAACAACAGUGGCCGUAAAACUUAUGUUCGAUACCACUCAUUUGCUAGCGAUAAGGCAAAGGCUAUAUUAUCCAUCGUGUCAUAAUAGAAUGUCAUUGACUUUUUCAACCCGUGAGAAUUCUAGCAUCUCUUUAGCAAAAAAUGAUUCCCUAGAUCACAUCCAUAAUAGAUGGACCACCAGCAUCACUUUUUCACCUGAUUGUUAACUUUCAUUUUUUCCUUCUUGAUUUUUUUGAAAGUUCUUGAUCGUAAGCCACAAAUUUUUCAUUUUUGUCUAUUCAACCACGUUCCAAUUUUUUUUAGCCUUAUGUCUAUUCAAUUACGUACUACAUGAACAACCAAAGGUUCCCACUUAUUGUACCAAUUCUUUCUUAGCCUUAUGUAGAUUCAACUACGUACUACAUGAACAACCAAAGGUUCCCACUUAUUGUACCAAUUCUUUCUUAGCCUUAUGUAGAUUCAACUACGUACUACAUGAACAACAUGAGCAACACAAGCAAGAAAACAACCAUUCAACUGUUCAGUUUCUAUUUUUAUUUAUAAAGCCCUCUUUUACAGUUUAAAGUUCAUGUAGGACUCUUCUUUCAUGGCUGUUUCAUCCAUUGUGAGCAUUUUCGCAGCAGAGAAAAGAUAUUCCAUUCCACCAGUGUGUAAACUCCUUGCCUCUCCAGUGCUGAAUCCUCUGUACGAUGCAAAGGCCGAGUCUCAGAUCAAUGCGUGGUGCGCCGAGUUUCUGAAGUUGCAACCUGGAAGCGAGAAAGCUGUGUUUGUUCAAGAAAGCAGGCUUGGAUUGCUCGCGGCUUAUGUUUACCCGACCAUUCCAUACGAGAAGAUUGUUCCGGUUGGAAAGUUCUUCGCUUGGUACUUUCUUGCAGAUGACAUUCUGGAUAGCCCGGAGAUCUCCUCGUCGGACAUGAGGAAUGUGACAACUGCAUACAAGAUGGUUUUAAAGGGAAAAUUCGACGAGGCCACGCUUCCAGUGAAAAAUCCGGAGCUGCUGAGGCAAAUGAAGAUGUUAUCUGAGGUCUUGGAAGAAUUGUUCCUCCAUAUAGUGGAUGAAUCAGGCCGAUUCGUGGAUGCUCUGACCAAGGUGCUCGACAUGUUUGAGAUUGAAUCGAGCUGGCUUCGCAAGCAAAUCAUUCCCAACUUGGAUACGUACCUCUGGCUGAGAGAGAUCACAUCUGGUGUUGCUCCUUGCUUUGCUCUGAUUGAUGGUUUACUGCAACUUAGGCUGGAGGAGCGUGGCGUGCUGGAUCAUCCUCUCAUACGCAAGGUUGAGGAGAUUGGGACGCACCACAUUGCGCUCCACAAUGACAUGAUCUCGUUCAGGAAGGAGUGGGCGAAAGGAUACUACCUCAAUGCCGUGCCCAUUCUCGCCAGCAAUUGUAAGUGUGGCUUGAACGAGGCAAUUGGCAAGGUUGCGAGCAUGGUGGAGGAUGUGGAGAAGGAUUUCGCCCAGACAAAGCAUGAGAUCGUUUCAAGUGGGCUUGCCAUGAAGCAAGGAGUCAUGGACUAUGUGAACGGGAUAGAGGUGUGGAUGGCCGGAAACGUAGAAUGGGCAUGGACGAGCGCUAGAUACCAUGGAAUUGGGUGGAUCCCUCCUCCAGAAAAAUCAGCGACCUUCCAACUCUAGAUUGUUGCUCAAAUAGUAAUUAAUAAUUUCUCUCAUGGAGUGUUUUAGAAAUUCAUAUCUAAGCAGUGUUUUCGUCCUGAACAAGCAAAUUGAAAUGCACGGUAGAUGUGGUAACAUCAAGCAUGCAGCUCAGAUCUUCCAUGGUAUGGCCAAGAGGGACAAGUUCAGUUGGGAUCUUUUGCUGGUUGCCUUCUGCAAAAACGGGCAUUUUGAUGAAGCGCGAAGGCUCUUCAGCUGCAUGCCGUGCUGGAGUCUCGUGUCAUUUACUGCUAUGAUUUCUGUUGCCUCCCAGAGAGGCCAAAGCAAGAAAUACAAUCUGUUACAAACUUGAUGCCAGAGCACGAUCUUUUCUCUGUAAACGCGGUGCUUUUUGCCUUUGCCGAAAAUGGGCAUCUUGAUUCUGCCAAGGUAGUAUUUAGCAAAAUGCCUGCUCGCAACUUGGUGUCGUGGACGACGAUGCUGGGGGCUUUAUCUCAAUUCGCGGAUGUGGAAAGCACUUUUGAAGAGAUGCCGGAGCACGAUGUCGUCUCGUGCACUUGCGCAAUUGCAGCAUUCUCCCGUCACGGGCAUCUGGAGUCUUCUCUGGAGCUCUUCCACGCCAUGCGUGUGAGGAAUUUCUCGACUUGCACCGCAAUCCUCUCCGGCUACGUCCACUGCGGCCUCCUGAAAGAGUCCGAGCGCUUCUUUCACGAUCAAAUGCCACAGCACGAUCUUGUCUCCGUCACAACGCUGCUCGUCGCCUACACCCAAAGCCAACGCCUUGAGGAAGCCAGCUGCCUCUUUGAUUCUCUUCCGUACGUAGAUGCCGUGUGUUGGAACGCCAUAGCCACGGGACUUUCCCAGUGCGGCCUCCUGGACGAAACCACGAAAAUCCUCGACAAAAUGCCGGCAUGGAAUCUUGCAACCUGGAACACGCUGCUAACAUCACACUCCUUGCAAGGGAAUCUUACCGGGGCUAGAAGAGUCUUUCACGAAAUGCCAUACAAGAACUUGGUGUCGUGGAACGCAAUGCUCUCGGCAUAUGCCCAAAACGGGCAGCUUUCUCUUGCAAGGAAGGUGUUCCAAACGAUGCCCCUGCGCAGCGUUGAAUCCUUCAGUGUAAUGCUGACCGCAUAUGCCCAAGCCAGCAGCCCCAGCGACGUGUUUGAUUCCUUCGAAGAGAUGAAGAUAGUGGAGAUGCCCGACGAUUCCUGCUUCACUUUGGUGCUGAUGGCGAGCAGCCAAGUGGGCGAGCCCAAUGUCGGCGGCUCCUACUUCAACUCCAUGCGUCUGGAUUACGGGGUGGCGGCGAGAAAGCAACACUACUGCUGCAUCGUGGACAUGCUGGGGCGAGCGGGAUACCUGCAUGCGGCGGAAGAGCUUGUGCAAACCAUGCCUUUUCUUCCCAACUCGUGGGACUGGACGUCCAUGCUAAGUUCUUCCAGAGGCGAUAGAAUCUGGAAAAACGGUGCUCGAGUGACGAAACGAGCUUUGCUUUCGGGCCCCAGCGAUGGAGCUGCUCUUGUGCUGCUCGCACGCUCCUCAUGAUUCUUACUACUUUUCCGAAACUUUACCUCUAUAAAAUGGGUUAUCGAAUUUAGGGCCCCGCCUCUCCGACGCCGCGACGAUGUGGUCGCGAGUUUGAAUCGCUUCUUGGACAUCUGGAAGGCGGCAUCGGCCAUCGGCCAGGUUUUAUCCUUACUACCAUUUCUCGUAUUUUGGAGCUGAAUCGCGUGAUUCUAGAGGAGGCGCAUUGCCAUUGUUACAUGUGUUAGGGUCAUUGACAAUUUCAGCUCGGGUAGUCGAGGAGCAGAGUGCGUUAUUCUUUCUUCUCAUUCUUUUUUUAUGAUUUUUUUUUUCAAGGCACUUCCUUGCAAGUGACUGCUGUGAUUUUCCUUCAUCGGAGGCAAGCAGCACUCUUUUUUUCUUUUGCAAAUGGUGAUGCUACUUUCGUGAAAUACUUUUUAGAGGAUCUAUGCAGCCAUUUUGCCGCUCGCUGCCGGCUAAUCCCAUACAAGAAUGUCUCGAGCCUGUGGAUGGAUCAAUCCGGGGUAAGCGAAAUCUGCCUUUUAUUUCUUCGAGAGUUUAACUCCCGCUUCGCAGCACGAGAAAAAUGGUUUGAUGCUGUCACUCGGGCAGUCACAGGACAUAGCUCAGUUCUUGUUUCUCUUCUUGAGUUCUUAAGAAUCAAAACAGGCGGUGCUCCAGAAGAAGCUCUUGAAGCUCGAGUUCACUACGCUCUUCGAGUACCUCCAAGUAAGAAACGUGCCGCGCAAACUCUGGUUUGUAUGACGGUUUUUCGUGGCACAUUUUAGAAGAUUGUUGGAGCUGCCAUGAAACCAGUUGGCAGGCAUGCUAUGUUUUACUUUGCAGCGGCUGUCUCCGACUUCUACGUCCCCUGGAACUCCAUGGUAAGAACUUCUCGUCUUCUCUCGUUUUGUUUUCGGUGGAAAUCUCAAAAAUAAUCUUCUCUAUCCAGAUGGAGCACAAGAUCCAGUCGGAUGACGGCUCGAUGACAAUGCAGCUCGCUCCGGUUCCAAAGAUGCUUGGAUUGUUACGAAAGCAUUGGGCUCCGGAGGCCUUUUGCGUCUCGUUCAAGGUUUUUCAUUUCCUCUUUACUCUUCUCCUCUAUAGCAGCUCAAUCGAGCAAAGUUUUAUAUCGUAUCAGCUGGAAACGGACGUGGACAUACUCCUCAAGAAAGUACGCUCGUCGCUUUGCAAGUAUGGCAUGCACGCGGUGGUCGGCAACGAGCUCGACACGAGGAAGAACAGGGUCGUGAUUGUGACAAGAAAAGUAGAGAUGGUUUUGGAAAAGGGUGACUGCUCCGACAUAGAGUUGCCGCUGGUGAAUUUUCUGGUCGGCCAUGUAUCUCCAGCAGCAACAAGCAUGAAUUUGGCAGCAGCACGAGAGCCUUGCGCUCGUCCCAUCAAAUCCUCCACAGGUCAAGUCCACUCACUCGCGAGUUCUUCCUUGUCUCAAACACUUGCCGGCUCCCAGGUCUUCCUCUCCAAUCUCCUCAUAUAAAUGUAUGGAAGAUGCGACCGAUGCUCUCUUGGUUUUUGAGGGGUCUUGUUUGAUCUCUUGUUCUUGGCAUAUGCCCAAAACGGACAUCCACAAAGGUCACGGACGGCCAUGUUGGUAUUAUACGCACGGAAUGGCCACCUUGGCGAUGCCAUGGGUCAGAGACAUUGUGGCCAACUGUGGCAUAUGCAUCUUGUUAAAGAGCUUAAAAUUUCUAGAGAGAUGCUCAAAGAAUCUUGUAGGGGGCAUCUUGUUGGCGCCAAGUUCAGCGCGAGGGAUGUUUGAAGUGAUGCUUGAGCGAGAUCUCGUGUGGAGCGUGAUCUCGUGUCCUUGGCCAGAGUCUGUGGCAUCUGAUGAGCAGUAGAAUAGGCGGACAAGCUGUCCUUGAAAUCCCUUGCUAGUGCUUCUUACAAAUGCUCAGCUAAUUUCUUAUGCCGAGCGGGGCAAUUGGAUCCGCUAAGCUUUCCUUUGAUGCUAUGCCGGGAAGGGAUCAAGUAUCCUGGAAUGCUAAAAUUUUUGUGCCGGGCAUUGUCACUGUCGAAACUGAUGCUUGAUAGUGUUCCUUAUCAUAUUGGAAUGCAAUGUUAUCAGCAGCAUCUUCAGUUUUCCGAAUCAGUUUCUUUCAUCAAAUGCCAGACGUGUCUUGGAAUGCAAUGUUUUUCCUCAUGCUUGCUUGGGAUGUUAUUUCCUUCAACACCUUAUUGGGCAGUAUGCAGCUUGGAGGGAAACAAAGUAUCGUUUUUCAAGCUGACACCCUUUGGUCAGUUGGAUCCAAUUGACUUAGGGUGUGAAGGAUAAGAUUUUAACAGUUCUUUUGGACCAUGAUAGCUGAGUCUAUUGCUGGACUCACUAUAACGAGGGAAUGUGUUAAUCUUCUUAUGUAAAAGUGUUCAUAUGUGUGGAGGUUGUACUUGCUAUGUAAACCCUUCUCCAUCAAACUUGCGGAUGGAUGCCUUUCCUUCUAUAGUGCUAUCCCAGCUCCGAUACCAUGAGACAAAUCGGGAUCAAAGCGCACCGCGCUAGCGGACAGAACAGGAAAACCCUAAUGUCUACGUGGUGAGGGUGUGUCGUGUAACAAUCCUGACUUGCCUGUGUUGGAGCCACGAGAACGUUGAGCCCGUUGCCACACUUAUGAUCGUGUUGAGCACCAUGGGAGCAGCGCAAAAGUUGGUCAUGUUGUGCUCGGCUAUGGUGACAAAGAUUCCUUUGGCCGUCACCUGUGGAAACGAGGAACUUUACUGCUAUACGAGUGUAAAUGAAGAGAUGAGGAAAAGCAAACCUGGCGAAGACAUAUGUUGGUCCUGGCCAGAGCUGCGACUGCCCAAGGAAAGCACCACCCAUUGCAAUGGAAGAGCAGGAGAGUCCAGAGAUAGAUGCAUGGCAAGCUUAAGCUGGCUUCACAUCUUAUUCUGGAAGAGGUCAGUUGUAGAAUUGUGGAAGAAGACAUAGAAUAGAAGACAUUUUUUUGCCUAUACAGAGAUUGAGGAUGUGGCAGUGGUAUGAAAGUCGAAAGUUCUCAUUGUUGCUCCCCUGGAUGUGGGAUGUGGGAUCUCAAAAGGACAGGCAGUGAUCUGGUGAACCUUGUUGGAAGAUAGAGAGUUCUUUUUUUCUUUUUCUAAUGAACAGCUUAUCAUUUGCAGACAUUUUCCAGGAGAAUGACAAAUGCCACCGAGUUGCUUCAGAGGGGCACAAGUUUCGAGAUGCAUGAAUGUGGGUACAGUAAACAUGCUGAUUUUGUUCCGUUUCAAAGUGUCACUUGAGUUAUUUCUUCUCACAGCUCGAUCAUCUCCAGGAAAUGGUCCCAUUCCGCAAGGAAGCUAGUAGCAUAGCUUAAGUCUCCAAUGUGGAAAAUUGCAUCUACUACCUCUUUUGCCAUGGCAUCAAUAACUUGCAGUGCACCAGGCUGCAAACAUAAAUAGUUCAGGAGUGUGAAUGCAAUGUGUGAAUGGUAAUUUUUUCUUCUUGCUAUCUCUUGCAAUAUGAGAGGUCAUGUUUCUGUGCAUAGGGGAGAAUAUCAUCCAGCCGUGUGGGCUGGGAAGUAUGUGAAUAGCUGGCAGACAUCAUUUGACAUGAAAGACAGAUGGCCACAGUAAAGUUCUUCUUCUUUUUCCCUUUUCUGACUAGUUUCGCUUGUAGAAUAGACUUGCUAGUGGAUGACAAUAAUUUGUGGGCAUCUCACACUGGUCCCAGAGGCUGGAACGGUGAGAUCAGUGGUUAGCUUUGCAUAAAUUUCUCAAGUUUUCUCUUUUAGAUCCCGAUAUGCUCCAAGUGGGGAAUGGUCAAAUGUCCUUGGCUGACUUUCAUUCACAUUUUAGCAUUUGGUCUAUCAUGAAGGUGUAAGCAAUUAAAUUUUCCAUUCUACUUUAGUCACUUAACCACACCUCUGACCACUUGGAGGAAUCUCAUUCACAACUUCCUUAAGUUCAAUUCAGGACUUGGGAUUUGCUAGUCCCGAGAAUGGCAUCCAUGCCACUCAACCCUUGCACUUGGUCCAAAUGCUCCACGUGUCCAGUCCCAAGACUGACACCCAAAGGUACCACUAACAUAUUGGCCUGUUACGCCAAGGCCAUGCCCAUUCACUUUUGCCACACUGGUGGUACAAUACCACUUGCAUCACAAUCCCGUCUCUCCAAGACUGGGCCGUCCGUCCAUGAGUGGUCAUCCCAGAUCCACUCCUUAGCAUCUUUAGGAUGCCUGCAGACAUGGGAAACAACCUUCCCCAAUAUCCCUUUAACAGUCCCCACCAAGAUCCUUUUCUGUGCAUGGCCAUAUUCACCAACACUACCACUGGAUCAAGGCCCACAGGCCCAACCACUAAGUCCCACUGUCCUUUGGGACUUCCUCACCACAUGACCGUGUCAUUGGUCACCAGAGGAUCACUGCUCUUCCCUUCCAUAGUCUGGGACUUUGGGACAUCAUUUUGGAACACCGCAGCCCUAUGCGGGCCUCCUGGGUGCUCUCCCCACCUUCUGUCUUUGGGUGCUCUAGCCAUGGGCUUAGAGCGAGGUUCCGUUGAGCCACGCUUAGUAUCCAAGUAGGUAGUGCCACCCACACUUGGACUGGGAGCAUCGGCCAGUCGAUCUCCCGGGGGAACUAAAGCCGGCUCUUGAACACUUCACCAGACUACCCCGCUUGUCGGUCCGUAUUCACUCUAGUCUUAGACUUCCCAGUGGUCAGUUCAUCACCCAAUACUGGGUCUAGCCUUCCUGGGCCAAACUGGCCUUUCCUGGCCAAACUGGCUCCACUGCAAUCCUCCCCCUUACUAUACUUUUGGAGCUCACCAAACCCCCCAGAGUUUGGGAGACGAGCACUUUGGGCUUUCACCCUCUUAGACUCAAACUUGGACUUGGACUCGGACUCGGACUCGGACUCGGACUCGGACUCGGUCUCGGGCUCGGCCUCGGCCUUGGUCUCGGUCUUGGUCCCGGUCCCGGUCCCGGUUGCAGUCUCGGUCUCAGUCUCGGUCCCGGUCUCGGUCCCGGCCUCGGUCUCAACCUCGGACUCCAUCUCGGGUCCUUCUCGAACUCCAUCUCGGACUCCGUCUCAGACUCCAUCUCGGACUCCGUCUCGGUCCAUCUCGAACUCCAUCUCGGGUCCAUCUCGGACUCCGUCUCGGUCCAUCUCGAACUCCAUCUCGGGUCCAUCUCAGACUCCGUCUUGGACUUCAUCUCGGACUCCAUCUCAGACUCCAUCUCAGACUCCAUCUCAGACUCCAUCUCGGGUCCAUCUCAGACUCCAUCUCAGACUCCAUCUCGGUCCAUCUCAGACUCCUUCUCGGACUCCAUCUCGGACUCCAUCUCGGGUCCAACUCGGACCCCAUCUCGGACUCCAUCUCGGACUCCAUCUCAGACUCCACCUCGGGUCCACCUCGGACUCCAUCUUGGACUCCAUCUCGGGUCCAUCUUGGACACUUCCAUGUGUCAUGUGUUAGUCCUUUUUGGGUCCCUUUUUAGAGCCUUGCUUAUUGCUUGUUUCGUGCUCAUUCCUCGAGCACUUUGUUGGGAGUUCCACUCCCGCUCUCGACCUAUCAAGUUGGAGCUUUUAGUCCAAAUGUGUUACGCUCGUUUGGCUUUCGCUUCGGCCACUACCACGUGGCACCCUUCCGGCUCCACUUUGGGGCCUAGGGAUUUUGUGUCUCACAGAAGGUUUGCAUGCUCAUUUAUCAUUAACCCAGACUAUAGUACCUUGCCUCAAGCACCUCUCAUCAUUGGCUAUGAGUUGAGAACAAUCACGAAAGAACACUUUGAAAUUUACAAGAACACUAAGAUAAUAGUGGUAAAUUAAGGUAAGUUUUUGAAGAUUAGAGCUAUUGCUUUUUUAAUAUUUUUCUUUUGAUAUGUAAAAUACAAGGACGCAAAGUGAGCCGAAUAGGACAGUCAGAGUUAAUUACUUCUUGUUUGAGACUGACGAAGUAUUGUGUGAUCACUGUAGCACACCUUAUCUCUCUCCCCUUAAUGUUUGACACUGACAAAGCAUUGUGUGAUCACUGUAGCACACUUUAUCUCUCUUCCCUUAAUGUUUGACACUGACAAAACAUUGUGUAAUCACUGUAGCAUACUUUAUCUCUCUCCCCUUAAGCCAACUAGAAAAGGGGCAAUUACUUGAUAAGAGAGCCAUUAAUGGCUAUUUUAUCCCUAUUUAUCCCCCAAGGUUCCAAGGAUCCACGAUGACAGUAUAUUCAAAUCUCAUCCCAUGAUCACAUGCGCUACACUCACCCCCCCUUCAGAGAUGUCAAUGUCCUCAUUGACUAUUGACUAAUGUAGACCAGCUGAGCCAAGAGUCCUCGUCCUUUAUGCUAGUCAAUGUCCUCAUUGACUAUUGACUAGCGUAGACCAGCUAAGCCAAGAGUCCUUGUCCUCAUUGACUAUUGACUAGCAUAGACCAGCUGAGCCAAGAGCCCCCUUCAGAGAGGACAUUGCCCUUCAGAGCUGUCAAUGUCAGUGUUAGUCUACAGACUCUAUAUCAGAGCUGUCAAUAUCAGUGUUAGUCUAUAAACUCUAUAUCAGAGCUGUCAAUGUUAGUGUGUAGAAACUAGUCUACAGAAGAAGGCAACUAGUCAUCCACCCGUACCACAGUCCCACACAAGAGGAAGGAUGUACUGCACCCGUACCACAGUCCCACACAAGAGGAAGGACGUACUUGCCCUUCAGAGCUGUCAAUGUCAAUGUUAGUCUAUAGACUCUGUAUCAGAGCUGUCAAUGUCAGUGUUAGUCUAUAAACUCUAUAUUAGAGCUGUCAAUGUUAGUGUGUAGAGACUAGUCUACAGAGGAAGGCAACUAGUCAUCCACCCGUACCACAGUCCCACACAAGAGGAAGGACGUACUGCACUUGUACCACAGUCCCACACAAGAGGAAGGCACACAAGAGGAAGGAUGUACCGCAAUUACUGCAGUCCUAUGGUGGAUACCUUCAUCCGUGGAUACUCCACACAAGAGAAUGGACGUACGUAUGGAUAUCCAAUACGUAUAAUUUCAAAUUUAGAGGUAGGUAUAUUUUCACAAUUUAAGGGUAAAAAUAUACCUUGCUCAAGGGUAUAUUAUAUUUUUAAGUAGCUACUAAUCAAUGGGAAUCGAACUCGUGCCAUUUGCUCCGAUACCAACUGUAGCACACCUUAUUUCUCUCCCCUUAAGCCAACUAGAAAAGAGGUAAUUGCUUGAUGAGAGAGCCUUUAGUGGCUAUUUUAUCCCCAUUUAUCCCCAAGGUUCCAAGGAUCCACAGUGAUAGUAUAUCCAAAUCUCAUCCCAUGAUCACAUGCGCUACAAUCACGUAGGCCCUUCGCGAUAGAAUUGUCAUGGUAGCAUGAAACAAAGGGUGGAAGCGAGUAUUAAUCAGGAACAACUGUAAAUUGAAUCAACUAUGACAACAAAUAUGAAAAAUUUGCAAAAGGUACACAAUAUGUUACACAAUUCACAAUUGAUAUAUAUCUUUGUGCUGUGUGGGUUAUAGCACGAAGAUUAGACUUCAAGGUAGGAGGAUGGUUUUGAAGUGGAAAUAGAUUCCCACAACUGUGGGGUGUAUAUCUUGUCCAACAUUUCCAUGGUAGAAUUGUGCUUUAAUAGUGGAAGAUGAACAUGGGAUGCCAAUACCACUGAUUUGUAGUUAAAAAGUGGAUUUUAAAUUGAUUUUCCUUCUUCAUUAUAAUAUGUGUUUUGUCAAGGAUUUUGCAAAUCCUUACAUAAAAUGCCUCAAUGAUUGGAGAGCAUAAAUUUAUGUUGCUAAAUACAGGAACGACAAGGGUUGCAUUCAUACAGCAACCAUGUCGCAAAUCUACAUCAAGCAGAAAAACCUCUAGCUUUGGUUUCUUUGAAAAAAAUGAGUCUCGGAAGCAUACCCCCAUGCGCAUUUGAUUGAGCCCCCAUUGGCAGUCACUGAAAGGUAACCAUUGUUCACUACUGUGGGAUCCAGGCAGCUUUCCAGGCUUCGCUGGCGGCGAUUCUGUGGUAGUGGUGAAGAUCUAUGCUCGAGAGGCGAGCCAGAUGAUGCUAGAUGUGCUGGGGGAAUCUGAAUUGGAAAGAUGAACAAUUUCGGCCGGGCAGAGAGCUUUCCUCUGCCGCUGGGAACAUCGUGCUACUCCAAUAUUUUCUUCAGUAACAAGAGCUUCGGCAGAUUUCUCUCAAAGGUGAAAUCCUCGCUCCUGGAUAUUUCUCUGACAUUGUUGCUGGGCGGCCAGAGGAGAAGGCACUGGAGGCGAUGCAUAUGCUUGUGCAGGCGUUUUAAACGUCUUGGACAGUGAGAAGGGUGUGAGGGCCUUCGUGCCGCUGCUAAAGUCCCAGGAAUUGCUCAAGGAGCUCUCUUUUAUGAACAAUGGGAUCUCCAUUGUGCUGCAUGGGAGAUCGUCACCACCACCAUCUCUCUCAAGCUCUUCCACUUCCACAACAACUUGACCGGUGAUCAAGGAGCCAGAUCUCUCACCAGGCUCAUCGAGAAGGUUGUCCAGCUCGAGAACUUUCUCUUCUCAUCGACUGGAGUUGGGUGGCACUGGCUUCAGCCAUCGCUGGUGGAUCCAACCUCAAAGUUCUCAACUUGAGAGACAACAGGUCCUGGAGGUGGUGCUGUGCUUGGAAAAUUUCAAUCAUGAUAAAUCUACAUACCGUGCCAUGAAAAACCCAGAUUUUGUACAUAUUAAAGAGCGCUCUACAUUUCCCUGGCGCUGCUGUUGUUGUCACAUAUGCAACCAGGAAAUGGGUUGUCAAAUAAAUAGUCUUUGUGCUUUGGGACAAGAGUGGGAACUCUUAGAGCUGGACCUGUCCUCACUUUGUGCAGCAUUUUCACUUGAAACGCAAAUUCAUCCCAAGACAUAUUCCCAGCUCCAUAGCUAUCAAUGAGCCAAAUAAGCUUUCACCUGGAGGAGAGUGGAAUGAGUUAGAGAAUUAGAGAAACUAUAAAUGUAGAAUGAAGCCAUGUUUCCAUCAUGCGUGAACAUGAAGACAUCGCUCUCAAGUGCAACUGCAUCAUCCACAGCCGAGAGCCUGUUUUGGUACCUGGCAGUUGAAAGCUCCUCAUAAAUUGUCAAUCUUGAAUGUGAGUACACACGAUCUUCAGUGACCUAUCUAUGUGAAAUCAGUGAUAGUCUGUCUACUACUGGCAAUUCCUGUCAUAUGAUUUCUUGUGUUCUUGUAACUACUGUUAGUAGAGCAGUGAGACAAAAAAAAAAAAAAAAACAAACAAAAAAAAAG